CAUGGCGCCGAGCGCCGGGUGAGCGGCGCUUUGGCGGUGGUGAGAGGCUCUUCCUGCGCUGGGCGCUCGACUGGCGGGGGCGGGUCUGAGUGGUACCCGGGACUAGACCCUUUGAAGGGCCCGUGUGGGGACCUGGAGGAGGACGGUUGGUUGUGUGUCCGUGCGCGUGGGGACUCUGUGUGUUUGCAUUGGAGGGAUGUUGGGGGGAUGAGGUGGGCUCUCUACGCCUUCUUUCUCGCUGUACCCAUUGCCUGGGGACCUUAGACCCGCUUCCCUGCUGGGGAAACUGCUACACGGAUCUAGGUCAAGUUAUUCUUCUGGGAAGCCUUCCUGCCGACUCCACUGACCUGAGAUUUCCUGAGGCCGUGGCGUGUUAUUUGAGCCUGUACUGGCAGAGGGUACCGCGGGGUAUUGAAGGAGUAGUAGGAGUUCGCCAGGGAACUGGGACAUGACCGCCUCCUGUAUACCCGGCUCCAGGCACAGAGGUCUCCAUCUCCCCGCCCUGGGGCAUCUUCCUUCAGGGGAGGGGAGGAGGGGCUCCAGAAUGGCUGAGGAGAAGAAGCUGAAGCUGAGCAACACCGUGCUGCCCUCGGAGUCCAUGAAGGUGGUGGCCGAGUCCAUGGGCAUCGCUCAGAUUCAGGAGGAGACCUGCCAGCUGCUGACAGAUGAGGUCAGCUACCGCAUCAAGGAGAUUGCACAGGAUGCCUUGAAGUUCAUGCACAUGGGGAAGCGGCAGAAGCUCACCACCAGUGACAUUGACUACGCACUGAAGCUAAAGAACGUCGAGCCACUGUAUGGCUUCCACGCUCAGGAGUUCAUUCCUUUCCGUUUCGCCUCUGGUGGCGGCCGGGAGCUUUACUUCUACGAGGAGAAGGAGGUUGAUCUGAGCGACAUCAUCAAUACCCCUCUGCCCCGAGUGCCCCUGGAUGUCUGCCUCAAAGCUCACUGGCUGAGCAUUGAAGGCUGCCAGCCAGCUAUUCCAGAGAACCCACCCCCAGCUCCCAAAGAGCAGCAGAAGGCUGAGGCCACAGAACCCCUGAAGUCAGCCAAGCCGGGCCAGGAGGAAGACGGCCCCUUGAAAGGCAAAGGUCAGGGGGCCACUCCAGCUGACGGCAAAGGGAAAGAGAAGAAGGCGCCACCCCUGCUGGAGGGGGCGCCUCUGCGACUGAAGCCCCGAAGCAUCCACGAGUUGUCUGUGGAGCAGCAGCUGUACUACAAGGAGAUCACAGAAGCCUGUGUGGGCUCAUGUGAGGCCAAGAGAGCGGAGGCUCUGCAGAGCAUCGCCACGGAUCCGGGGCUCUACCAGAUGCUGCCGCGCUUCAGCACCUUCAUCUCAGAGGGGGUGCGCGUGAACGUGGUGCAGAACAACCUGGCCCUGCUCAUCUACCUGAUGCGCAUGGUGAAGGCGCUGAUGGACAACCCUACUCUGUAUCUAGAGAAAUACGUGCAUGAGUUGAUCCCGGCUGUGAUGACCUGCAUCGUGAGCAGACAGCUGUGCCUGCGGCCAGAUGUGGACAAUCACUGGGCGCUCCGGGACUUCGCCGCCCGCCUGGUGGCCCAGAUCUGCAAGCAUUUCAGCACAACCACUAACAACAUCCAGUCCCGGAUCACCAAGACCUUCACCAAAAGCUGGGUGGAUGAGAAGACCCCGUGGACAACGCGCUACGGCUCCAUCGCAGGCCUGGCAGAGCUGGGACAUGAUGUGAUUAAGACUCUGAUUCUGCCGCGGCUACAGCAGGAGGGGGAGCGGAUCCGCGGGGUCCUGGAUGGCCCUGUGCUGAGCAACAUCGACCGCAUAGGGGCUGACCACGUGCAGAGCCUCCUCCUGAAACACUGUGCCCCUGUUCUGGCAAAGCUGCGCCCACCGCCUGACAAUCAGGAUGCCUAUCGGGCAGAAUUUGGGUCCCUCGGGCCCCUCCUCUGCUCCCACGUUGUCAAGGCCCGGGCCCAGGCUGCUCUGCAGGCUCAGCAGGUCAACAGGACCACUCUGACCAUCACUCAGCCCCGGCCCACACUGACCCUCUCCCAGGCCCCCCAGCCUGGCCCUCGGACCCCUGGCUUGCUGAAGGUCCCUGGCUCCAUUGCGCUGCCUGUCCAGACACUGGUGUCUGCUCGAGCUGCUGCCCCGCCUCAGCCUUCCCCUCCCCCAACCAAGUUCAUUGUCAUGUCAUCAUCCUCCAGCGCCUCAUCCACCCAACAGUGCUGUCCUGUUGUCCGGAGAAGCUGGUAAACCCACCCGUGGGCCCACGGUGCAUACACGCUCACCUGACCACCCCCCGUGGCAGGGGAAGGUGCAGCCUGACGUUGAGAGCCUGGCUGCAAGGAAAAAAGGACCAGAGUCAGCCCCAGGAAGGUCGUGACGUGUCCCAUCUUCAUUACUGUCAUGACUGGAGUUCUGCACAAGUGCUACUCCACCCCCUUCCCAAAUUCUAGUGCCUCUAAGCUGGAUUCUGAGGCUGGUUGGCCACACCUGAAGGUGGAAACAGCAGGUGGAAUAUGCUAGGCCAGCCCGAUCCUGACCUCACCCUGAGGUGGCUGCAGGCGGAGGAUUCGAUGAGAUUCAAACUCAUCCAGAUGCACCGAGCUGUGAAAUGAGACCUCAUCCACCCGAAUUCCUGGCCCAUAACCUGGAAAGAGAGAAAGACCCCUCUUCUAACCCAUAUUUUGGGAGGGGGUGGGAAGCUGUCUCUAGCUUCCCUCCAUGAAAACUUUGACAGUGACCUCGACCUAGGAGAGAAAGACCCACUUUCUCACCUCUCAGUUCUGACUUCCCCACACAAAACUCUUCCGUCAAGCCGAUGCGCAUCUCUGUCAGAGGAAAGAACAGAAGCAGCAGCCAAAUACCCCAUACAUGCCACCAAGGAGCCUGUCCCAAACCCCACCCUGGUCCAGCCUGCAGGCUGCUCACCAGAGCCGCUGGGCAGAAAGCUCUUGAGUCGUAUCUCUCCCUGCACGUCCACCUUCAGCAGCGAGCCCUGAGAGUGACAGGAGGUCAAUGCCCAGACGUGACCUCCCCGACACACUUCCCAAAGGUCGCCUGUCCUCAGCCGCAGGGCUGGGGGCCCAAACUUACGUUAGAGGCUAUCAGGACGGACAAUCUCUCGACCACAUCCAGAAACACUUCAUUCUUUUGGCUCUAAGGAAAGAGGGAUUUGGGGGUUGAUCAGCCUGUGUUCUAACGCGGACAGGCAGAAAGGACAGGACGGUGGAGGCUAGAGCCCUGGGUUGGGGACGCGGGUAAGGAAAGGGAUCAUCCACGUCUAGAGAAGGUGGAAAGAUAUGCUGGGAUCUUGGACUCUGGGGGCUGAGAGAAAAAUCAGAGGAUCUGAACCCAUCAAUCCCUCCCUCACCUGGUCAGAGCGGCUGGACAGCACCGGGCGGCUGGCUGCACUGCUGGGGGCCACUUUGCUCUGUUGUGUCUCAGCCCCAAACUGGAAAUCAUCCAAAGCAAUCAAUCCUCACGUAUGACACUUCCCACUAACCCUCCUCAAUCCUGGCCUCAUCUGUCCCUGGACUGACCAGGCCAACGCUGCUGAGGUCAAAGAGGCUGAAGGGUUUGCUGACCACAGCCUCCGUCUGGAUGAAGUUCCUCAGCAUCUCCGUGGAUGUAGUCUGUACAUAGCCAUAGUCCUAUAGGUAAAGGAAGGGCAGUCUUUGGGUGGUCGGGGGGGAAGGGGUGAAAAUGAAUGGACUCAGCCUCCCAACCAUGGGAUGCAUCUUCAGGGAACGGGGGACAGGGAGGGACAUCCCUGGACCUCACCAGCACUUCAUCCAGAAGUUCGUAGACCAGAGCCACGUUGCGGGAGAUGGUCCCCUCACCCAGGGAGCCACAGUAAUCACCCAGGAGCGUGGCUAGCCUGCAGAACAGGACGGAGUGUGCAUACCCUCCUCCUCUCUGACCCCCACGCCCGUGUGCCCAGCCCCGCCCUCCUCACCGGGAGAGCAGCUCUAGGAGGCUGAAGGGAGAAAUGUUUUCUGAAGUCGUGGCCACCAAAUAGAGGCCGCUGUGUCUGAUGUGAAUAAAAUGACGGUCAUCGUGGUGCUGAGGCAGAGGCAGGGGGAAAAAGCAUUAGCAAGAAAGAGUUGUGGUGAUUCCUGGCCCAUGAGACCUGGGCUGGUAUCCUGAUUCCCCUACUUACUAGCAGCGUGACUUGUGCCACAUACGACACCUCCCCAGGGCCCAGCUUCCUAAUGUGUAAAUGGAGUUAAUAAUAGUACCUACUCCAGAGUGGCUGAGGAUUGAGACGUGCGGGGAGCUGUGCCUGGUGCAUUGUGAGCGCUCAAUAGACUUCUAUUAAUAUUA
Lagenorhynchus albirostris (white-beaked dolphin) is the source of this 4303-nucleotide RNA transcript. It is a transcript of the gene named TATA-box binding protein associated factor 6, with no coding region annotated. The record is from RefSeq and is a predicted model, not a curated record. NCBI's taxonomy places the organism in Eukaryota, Metazoa, Chordata, Mammalia, Artiodactyla, Delphinidae. The transcript has 16 exons.